CAGCCGCCGCGGUAAUACCGGCGGCCCGAGUGGCGGCCACUAUUAUUGGGCUUAAAGCGUCCGUAGCCGGGUUGGUUAGUCUCCCGGGAAAUCUGGCCGCUUAACGGUCAGAAUUCCGGGAGAUACUCCCAGCCUAGGGAGCGGGAGAGGCCGAGGGUAUUCCCGGAGUAGGGGUGAAAUCCUAUAAUCCCGGGAGGACCACCUGUGGCGAAGGCGCUCGGCUGGAACGCGUCCGACGGUGAGGGACGAAGGCCAGGGGAGCAAACCGGAUUAGAUACCCGGGUAGUCCUGGCUGUAAACGAUGCGGACUUUGUGUCGGACAAGCUAUGAGCUUGUCCGGUGCCGGAGGGAAACCGUUAAGUCCGCCGCCUGGGGAGUACGGCCGCAAGGCUGAAACUUAAAGGAAUUGGCGGG
RNAcentral lists this ribosomal RNA (414 nucleotides) under uncultured microorganism. Its description in RNAcentral is "bacterial SSU rRNA". It matches the Rfam family "Archaeal small subunit ribosomal RNA", at positions 459 to 872 of the family's 1478-position model. The record is from RNAcentral.